UACGUAGGUGGCGAGCGUUGUCCGGAUUUACUGGGCGUAAAGGGCGUGCAGGCGGUUUGCUAAGUCUAGGGUGAAAGCUCCCGGCUCAACCGGGAGAGGUCCUUGGAUACUGACAGACUUGAGGGAGGCAGAGGAGAAUGGAAUUCCCGGUGUAGUGGUGAUAUGCGUAGAUAUCGGGAGGAACACCAGUGGCGAAGGCGGUUCUCUGGGCCUUACCUGACGCUGAGACGCGAAAGCGUGGGGAGCGAACCGG
RNAcentral lists this ribosomal RNA (253 nucleotides) under uncultured bacterium. Its description in RNAcentral is "partial 16S ribosomal RNA". It matches the Rfam family "Bacterial small subunit ribosomal RNA", at positions 524 to 776 of the family's 1533-position model. The record is from RNAcentral.